Molecule: ribosomal RNA, 271 nt
Filed under: uncultured bacterium
Lineage: Bacteria
Description: partial 16S ribosomal RNA
Rfam family: Bacterial small subunit ribosomal RNA
Source: RNAcentral
UACGUAGGUGGCAAGCGUUGUCCGGAUUUACUGGGCGUAAAGGAUGCGUAGGCGGACAUUUAAGUCAGAUGUGAAAUACCCGGGCUCAACUUGGGUGCUGCAUUUGAAACUGGGUGUCUAGAGUGCAGGAGAGGAAAGCGGAAUUCCUAGUGUAGCGGUGAAAUGCGUAGAGAUUAGGAAGAACACCAGUGGCGAAGGCGGCUUUCUGGACUGUAACUGACGCUGAGGCAUGAAAGCGUGGGGAGCAAACAGGAUUAGAUACCCGGGUAGU